GGUUCGCGAACCAGCACGGGGACGGGAGAGGAGGCCUGCCUCAAUUUGGACGAACCCUAAGACUUAAGAAGUCCGUACAGCGUUAAAGCUGAAGCACCAUGAAAUGCAGAAAUUUCUGGUCCGGAUAGCUCAGCUGAUUAUUUUCAGGUUGCUACAAUUUGUCAUGGAUGGGCUGGAUCCUAUGACCCUGAGACCAUGACCUGAGCUGAAACCAAGAGUCAAG
Canis lupus familiaris (dog) is the source of this 223-nucleotide long non-coding RNA. RefSeq lists it as uncharacterized. NCBI's taxonomy places the organism in Eukaryota, Metazoa, Chordata, Mammalia, Carnivora, Canidae. The transcript has 3 exons. The record is from RefSeq and is a predicted model, not a curated record.